GAUGAAGAACGCAGCAAAAUGCGAUAAGUAAUGUGAAUUGCAGAAUUCAGUGAAUCAUCGAAUCUUUGAACGCACAUUGCGCCCGCUGGUAUUCCGGCGGGCAUGCCUGUUCGAGCGUCAUUUCAACCCUCAAGCCCCCGGGUUUGGUGUUGGGGAUCGGCUCUGCCCUUCUGGGCGGUGCCGCCCCCGAAAUACAUUGGCGGUCUCGCUGCAGCCUCCAUUGCGUAGUAGCUAACACCUCGCAACUGGAACGCGGCGCGGCCAUGCCGUAAAACCCCAACUUCUGAAUGUUGACCUCGGAUCAGGUGGGAAUACCCGCUGAACUUAAGCAUAUCAAUAAGCGGAGGA
This 348-nucleotide unclassified non-coding RNA is filed under the name soil metagenome. Its description in RNAcentral is "partial contains 5.8S ribosomal RNA, internal transcribed spacer 2, and large subunit ribosomal RNA". The stretch from base 1 to 120 matches the Rfam family "5.8S ribosomal RNA", at positions 35 to 154 of the family's 154-position model. The record is from RNAcentral.